Triticum dicoccoides is the source of this 3169-nucleotide long non-coding RNA. RefSeq lists it as uncharacterized. Lineage: Eukaryota; Viridiplantae; Streptophyta; Magnoliopsida; Poales; Poaceae. The record is from RefSeq and is a predicted model, not a curated record. The transcript is spliced from 6 exons.
AAACUCCAUGAGUCUUGAGGAUUUUCGGAAUGUUGGAAUCAGUGGUGUUUUGUUUUUGAUGAUAUUAUCCGAUGGAGGUGACAGGGAGAGAAGAUGCUAGCUCAAUGGUGCUGGCCGUGAAGGAUUUUGGCGCAUCCAAGGAUAUAACCAACAUAUACACAAUGCUUACAAGGAGAUAUCGACUCAUUUGAUUGCUAUAUUGGCUUUGGUCACCCUUGUGGGGCUCCUUAUCUUUGAAGCAAGGUUCGGAUGCUCUUUGGACGCAGGAAGACGAACAUGAUAGAAAAAGAAAGGGAUCAACCUUGCCAUGACCCCAUAUUUCUGUAGGCUAAUAUCCCUUAUUUGCACUAUCCUACACCGAAUACUUAUAGGGUUAUGUGCCUUUGCCAUGCAGCACAUGUCAAUGGCAGUUCAGGAAGAGAUGACAUCACAAGUGAGCUCAAUUGAUAAGCCCACUAGCAGAAAAAUGUGGUUUGAGCCUGCUCCAACCCCUCCUCUGAUGUGGUGUGGUGGGAGGAGGAAGAAGAGCAUGCAUGCUCUCUGUCUACAUCCAGCAUCCACACGGCUAGAUCGACGGGUCUAAACUAUGGUUUAGAGCUAUAGGCAGGGGCUUGCUGUAGGGGGGAUAUCAUUGUGGCAGUUGAAAACCAAAGCCUUUAUUCAUGAGUGUAUGAUCUGGACUUCACUUUUCUGAAAGGAUCCGCGGCACAGUAGGAGAGGUGACGCCGGCCGGCAGCGCCUCACCGCCAGCUAUUGUUUGGCGCCGGCAAGGAGAAGGGCGCUUAGGAUCUGCUUCACUGUGCAUGGCUGUUGAAGUUCAGCAUCGCCAUGAUGUGUAUGGUUUCUCUAUUUUCCUCAUAUUGCCCUAUUCCCAAUUUUACAAACUGCUAUGUGACGCACAAUGGCCACGCCACGCACUGGUGAGAUUCAAGGUGCAGUCGAGCAAGAGUCAGUUCGAGGUGAGGUGUCUCACGUCGAUCUCCUGCUGCUCACCAGCAAGGCUCGCUGACGAGCGGCCAGAUCCACACGAGGUGGAUGUCACACACACGGCCCUCUCCCCUCCAUCCUUUCUCUUUCCUACAACUAUUAUGUCUUUGUACCUUGUUAUAUUGCUCUUUCAUCCAUGGUGAUAAAGAUGUUAACUCAGUUUGAUAAUGGAGUCACAGAUUUGUAUAUGAUAAUUCUUGGAAUUCAAAUUGUAACAUCCAUACUAAUUUGUUGGUUUGUCUCAACCAAUAAUUCAAUGUAAACCUAUUAACAUGAAUUUUAUGGGUAUACAUUGUCUCCUCCUAUGCCAAUUGAUUUUCUCCAGAUUAGUUGCACCAUAAUUUCAAGAAGGUUACAAACCUAGCGAUGAAUGAGACUAUCAUUAUGAUUGAAGAUAGCUGACUGUGACAAUUGUUUCUUUUGAAGUUUCACUGUUUAUGGAGGUGACAAUGCUAGAUAUAUACAUCUGUAUCAUGGCACUUCUCCAGCAAACAAAAGCUUGGUAGCCAUCUACUUUCAGAGAGUUUGAAAACGUACUAUCACGCUAACUCACUUAUCCGGAUUAAUGGUAAGUGUGUGUUUUCUUGUAUACCAAUCUACAGAACUACAAUUGAGAUCUCUACCUCCUAUAUUUCCCUUUUGUCAUUUUUUCUGGCUUUUAUGCUACUACUCAAAAUGUUUGACUAUUCAAUUAUAAACGUCAUGCAGCAGUGCUUACUUUCUUACUCCCUUUAGACAUGAUUUCCCUGUCCAAACAUUCAGCUGAACCGACACUAGCAAUAUUGAUCAGCUGAACUUGCAGAAGGGGAGAGGUACUAAAGGAACAUCUUACGUAUUUUUGGUCUCAUAUUCUUUGAGUACAUAACUAUCCAUUUAUUAAAAACUAUAUUUGAUGGACAAAUUGAACAGCACAAUUUAAGGAUGAUAAAAAUAAUAAUUUUAACAAGUGGAAGUAAUGUAUGGUACCGUGUAAAAAUGAAAGGUAUAGUUUUCCCACUCCUCCAAGAUGAGUUCAGUGCCUGUGUUUAAACCAUGGAUGUAGAGAUGGUCAGGUCAAAUGAAAUGUAUGAAUACUACUACAAUUGUUGAACAUUUGAUGAAAUCAGAAGUUAAGUAGAUUACAUAUAUGUAAGUUAGUCUUGUGGCUGAUGCUUUCACCAUGAUAAAUACAACCCCGAACGCAUAUGCCAACCAAUGUUUAAGCGACUCAAAGACUAUAACUAAUGCUAAAUAUCGAUGCCUGCUACUUAGUGGCACUAUCUGGCAUGGUUCAAAAGAGAGGUAAUUGUACCUGAAGUAGUGGACACAACCAUUCCUUGCAUUUGUAAGAGUUGUGCAGUAGUAUAAUAACCAUCUUUCUUUGAGGAGCAGUGUCGUUAAGUUUCAGUAGAAGUACAGGUACACGUUCCUGUUCAGCUGACUAAUGGAAAAAAAAGUGAUAACAGAUUCUGUUAUUCAGGGAGCAAGAGCCAAAAUUUCUUCAACUAGCUUCUCCUAAGUUGCCCACCUCUUUCCUCGGGCAUGACUCAAUGGCUUGGAAAGAGCAGCAGAAUCAACACAAUCACCUUGAUCUGGAAGGUGGAAUUUGUUUGCUCAGAUCGAAGGAGGAUCCUGGCCUCUCCGAGCCCCGGAUUGCCUUGUAAAAUAGCUCCUUUACCAGACUCCCUUGCUCCAUGGCCAGAGGCACCGGGACUGCGUGACGACGAGCAGAUUCGAAGCAAGCCAUUAUUCAACUCGGGAUGCAAACUCGCGGCGCGAGGGAGAGAAAGUGAGGGGGAUGUGGUUGGCUGACCUCGGUGUUUCCGGCGGACCUACUGGUACUUCGACCAGAUGUAUCCAGCGGCAGCAGUUGGGGCUCCGGUGGAGUCGGGGCGGCGGCAGGUGACUGGACCGCGCGUGGUGGAGAACUGGAGGAGAGGGAACCGAGCCCCACACUCACGAGCCGUUUCUUGGAGCGACUGCUCACAUGCGGCACGCGGCCGGCAGCCGGCAGCGGAGGUACACGCGUGGCUGAAGCGCUAUGGGGGCCACAAGGCAGGCGGUUCCUUUUUUAUUGAUUUGUCAUGCGUGCAUGCCUUCCUGAUUGCUUGUUGUUGCCGACACAUUAAGUGAUCACGUGUCUGUAAUCCAUUGUCGUUCUUUCUGAGAGACAGUGGGAAUACAAAUACUGAGAUUUGCUUCC